AAUAAUAGGGAUCUUCUCUUUCCAGUUCUUCCCAGAGUUGGGAAAAGCUGGAUUGAGAGGGCCAAAAAAAGAAGAA
This 76-nucleotide microRNA precursor is filed under the name Callithrix jacchus (white-tufted-ear marmoset). RNAcentral describes it as "mir-320 microRNA precursor family". It matches the Rfam family "mir-320 microRNA precursor family". Lineage: Eukaryota; Metazoa; Chordata; Mammalia; Primates; Cebidae. The record is from Rfam by way of RNAcentral.